This is a long non-coding RNA of Etheostoma cragini (Arkansas darter), 1204 nucleotides long. RefSeq lists it as uncharacterized. The transcript is spliced from 3 exons. Lineage: Eukaryota; Metazoa; Chordata; Actinopteri; Perciformes; Percidae. The record is from RefSeq and is a predicted model, not a curated record.
AGUAAGUAGAAAGUGAACACACGCCACAGAAACUGCUGCUGAUAUGCUGAGUCAAAUCAUCUCCAAACACCUAGCGAUGGUCUCUCCGUCUGAACUUGAGCAGGCUAAUUAGAUGAGGAGCCGUAGACAAGCAGGCAAAAACAAACGUGAGAAAAUCAUCUGAGAGCGGUGAGAAGAGGGGGAGGGUGAAAACAAGAAGCCCGAGUAGUGGUCUGUGAAACAUCUGAGUUUGGUUCUCCUUGCAAAGCAGAAUUAACAAGUGGAAACAGCCGACACACAGAAGUGAAGCACACAUUCACAGCAGAGGUGUAGCUGUGUGAGCUCUAUAAAGGCCUGUUUGCCUCCCUGAAAGUAAAACCUGAGGCAUUUGUGUUCAUAUCUCUGCGUGGGACGUGCAUCCGAGAGCCAGCAUGGGGAAUCGUGAGAUGUUGGACAUUCUUCAGAAGGUGUGGAUCAAACUGCAGGAUCUCCCACAUGCCAGUCCUCUGGAGCUGGGAGCCUUCUUUGUGGUCAUCCUGUUUAUUGCCACGUUUCUCUUGUUGAUUGUGCUGUCCUGCUUCCACUGCUGCUGCUGUGGAAAGUCAAAAUACCAGGCCACCAGAGUACAGCCUGUCUAAGGAUGACACAGAGAACACACUCCAGCCUUUCUUCCAUCCUUCAUCACCCACACUCACCGUUACAUAACCGGAAACGCUCCUCUUCAGAGGCAUUGAUUUCUUGGAGGAUAUCAUAAAAAUAAAAUUCAUCAACUCAACGAUGGGGACUUAUUUGCAUAAUAUGUCCAAUUUUGGGACAAAGACUGGAUGUACAUUCCAGAGAGAGAGAGCCAUGCCACUGGAAUCCAUAUAAAGCAGAAGAGUGGCACGACUCAUCAAGAUUCAUUUCAGAACAGUACAAUGCAACACUGUGUGGCAGCCUUGUACUACUACUACUACUAACACAACAUCAACAACAACACUGGAGCAAGGGAUUAAAAAUGGAAGAGGAAGAAAGCUGAUUUGUAUUUGAAUGUCACAGUGACUCCGUUAUUAGAAAAAACUUUUUUUUUCCUCCUGUUGAUAUUCAUCAAGGAUAUGAAAAACAACAUGGAAUAUGUACAGACAUUUUAACUUGCAUUUGUAUAGAAACUUCCCAGUGUAUAAAGAUAGUGCGCCCUCUGCUGGCUCAGUAAAGAGUGACUUGUUUUUGUGCAAAUUGUGGCAAU